AUCUCGUACCUGUCAAAGUCGGGCCAUCGGUUGCCGACAAAAGGGGGAGGAGACAAAAAGAAAGGAAGGCGAGGGUAAGUACCAUUGGCACGUACUUGCGAGACAAGACCAGCUAUGCUCGCUGGUGGGCGGUAUAAACUUCACCCGGCUAUAUGUGGAGUUAGCGGCAGCAAAGCUACUAUCCAAUAGAGACACGCUACAACAUCUGUCUACUCAGAGAAGAUAAGAGAGCGCACAAGGUAACAGUUCUAUACUCUGCAAACAUAACACAGCCGAUGCGAUCCCCCUUCGCAAAGAGGUACUGUCAAAGGCACACA
This is a non-coding RNA of Lolium perenne, 317 nucleotides long. The record is from RefSeq and is a predicted model, not a curated record. NCBI's taxonomy places the organism in Eukaryota, Viridiplantae, Streptophyta, Magnoliopsida, Poales, Poaceae.